AAGUAUAAGCAAUUAUACCGUGAAACUGCGAAUGGCUCAUUAAAUCAGUUAUCGUUUAUUUGAUAGUACCUUACUACUUGGAUAACCGUGGUAAUUCUAGAGCUAAUACAUGCUGAAAACCCUGACUUCGGAAAGGGUGUAUUUAUUAGAUAAAAAACCAAUGCCCUUUGGGCUCUUUGGUGAUUCAUGAUAACUUAACGGAUCGCAUGGCCUUGCGCCGGCGACGGUUCAUUCAAAUUUCUGCCCUAUCAACUUUCGAUGGUAAGGUAUUGGCUUACCAUGGUUUCAACGGGUAACGGGGAAUUAGGGUUCGAUUCCGGAGAGGGAGCCUGAGAAACGGCUACCACAUCCAAGGAAGGCAGCAGGCGCGCAAAUUACCCAAUCCCGACACGGGGAGGUAGUGACAAUAAAUACUGAUACAGGGCUCUUUAGGGUCUUGUAAUCGGAAUGAGUACAAUUUAAACCUCUUAACGAGGAACAAUUGGAGGGCAAGUCUGGUGCCAGCAGCCGCGGUAAUUCCAGCUCCAAUAGCGUAUAUUAAAGUUGUUGCAGUUAAAAAGCUCGUAGUUGAAUCUUGGGCCUGGCUGGCCGGUCCGCCUCACCGCGUGUACUGGUCUGGCCGGGCCUUUCCUUCUGGAGAACCUCAUGCCCUUCAGUGGGUGUGUUGGGGAACCAGGACUUUUACUUUGAAAAAAUUAGAGUGUUCAAAGCAGGCCUUUGCUCGAAUACGUUAGCAUGGAAUAAUAGAAUAGGACGUGCGGUCCUAUUUUGUUGGUUUCUAGGACCGCCGUAAUGAUUAAUAGGGAUAGUCGGGGGCAUCAGUAUUCAAUUGUCAGAGGUGAAAUUCUUGGAUUUAUUGAAGACUAACUACUGCGAAAGCAUUUGCCAAGGAUGUUUUCAUUAAUCAGUGAACGAAAGUUAGGGGAUCGAAGACGAUCAGAUACCGUCGUAGUCUUAACCGUAAACUAUGCCGACUAGGGAUCGGGCGAUGUUUCUAUCUUGACUCGCUCGGCACCUUACGAGAAAUCAAAG
This 1032-nucleotide ribosomal RNA is filed under the name Taeniolella sp. RNAcentral describes it as "SSU rRNA". It matches the Rfam family "Eukaryotic small subunit ribosomal RNA", at positions 61 to 1103 of the family's 1831-position model. The record is from RNAcentral. Lineage: Eukaryota; Fungi; Ascomycota; Dothideomycetes; Kirschsteiniotheliales.